UACAGAGGGGGCAAGCGUUGUUCGGAAUUACUGGGCGUAAAGGGCGCGUAGGCGGCCUGCUAAGUCGUACGUGAAAUCCCUGGGCUCAACCCAGGAACUGCGUCCGAUACUGGUUGGCUUGAAUCCGGGAGAGGGAUGUGGAAUUCCAGGUGUAGCGGUGAAAUGCGUAGAUAUCUGGAGGAACACCGGUGGCGAAGGCGACAUCCUGGACCGGUAUUGACGCUGAGGCGCGAAAGCCAGGGGAGCAAACGGG
Molecule: ribosomal RNA, 253 nt
Filed under: uncultured bacterium
Lineage: Bacteria
Description: partial 16S ribosomal RNA
Rfam family: Bacterial small subunit ribosomal RNA
Source: RNAcentral